GAGAGAGCAACUGGAAAAGUGAGCUUACGUAUGUAUAAACUCUAUUGCACUGAGGCGUUUGGGUGGUGGGGCAUUACAAUAGUAUUGGUCCUGUCUUUGUUAUGGCAAGUGUCUUUGAUGGCAAGUGAUUAUUGGUUGGCAUAUGAAACCUCAGAAGAACGUGCUAAAUUGUUUAACCCUUCUCUGUUCAUCUACGUCUAUGCAAUUAUUGCUGUUGUUUCCAGUGUUUUGUUAGUGGCAAGAUCCUACUUCUUUACUCUCAUGGGGCUAAGGACAGCACAAUUAUUCUUCACACAAAUUCUUCAUAGCAUCUUGCAUGCGCCCAUGUCUUUCUUUGACACCACACCAUCUGGAAGAAUUCUAAGUAGGGCAUCCACUGAUCAAGCCAAUCUUGAUGUCCUUCUACCCUUAUAUAUGGGAGCUAUUAUAAUCAUGCACUUAUCGAUGCUCGGCAUCUUCAUCAUAACCUGUCAAAAUUCUUGGCCAACGCUGAUUUUGAUAAUUCCUCUUGUCUGGUUAAAUAUGUGGUACCGGGGUUACUAUCUUGCAUCAUCUCGGGAAUUUACUCGCAUGGAUUCAAUUACCAAAGCCCCAGUUAUUCAUCACUUCUCUGAAAGCAUUGCAGGGGUCAUGACAAUCCGUUCAUUCAGAAAGCAAAAGAUAUUCUGUGAUGAAAAUCUGAAACGGGUGAAUGGUAAUUUGAGAAUAGAUUUCCACAACUAUAGUUGUAAUGAGUGGUUGGGAUUUCGCUUAGAAUUGAUUGGAAGCUUUGUCUUUUGCAUUUCUGCCAUGUUCAUGAUCAUCUUACCCAGCAAUAUCAUAAAGCCAGAAAAUGUCGGUUUAUCUCUCUCUUAUGGGUUGUCCUUAAACACUGUCUUGUUCUGGG
RNAcentral lists this small RNA (886 nucleotides) under Vigna angularis var. angularis. RNAcentral describes it as "Non-protein coding transcript". Lineage: Eukaryota; Viridiplantae; Streptophyta; Magnoliopsida; Fabales; Fabaceae. The record is from RNAcentral.